RNAcentral lists this transfer RNA (75 nucleotides) under Brucella anthropi. Its description in RNAcentral is "tRNA-Val". It matches the Rfam family "tRNA". Rfam says of the family: Transfer RNA (tRNA) molecules are approximately 80 nucleotides in length. Their secondary structure includes four short double-helical elements and three loops (D, anti-codon, and T loops). Lineage: Bacteria; Pseudomonadati; Pseudomonadota; Alphaproteobacteria; Hyphomicrobiales; Brucellaceae. RNAcentral also lists the same sequence under 23 other names. The record is from RNAcentral.
GGGCGUGUAGCUCAGCGGGAGAGCAUUCGCUUCACACGCGAAGGGUCACAGGUUCAAUCCCUGUCACGCCCACCA